CUGGAUAUGCCAAAUAUCUGUAAUAUUACACAAUGCUGUAGUUUAUAUUACUAUAGUUAUAGUUCCACAUCUUUCUUUGUGUAUUUCCUUUACAUCUCUACUAAUCUAGAAAUGUAGGUAAAUAACAUACUAAAAUAUACAUCUCACAUUAAAUAUGACAUUUUCAGCUCAUUACAUUUUCUGAUUAUACUAAAAGGAAUAGCCAGGUCAUGAUAACAGAAUCACCUCACAAUUGGGCUUCAAGUAUAUAGCUCAAAAAUACAAAUCAACACACACACUGCAAAACGCAGCCCUUGUUCAUCGCAAAAUGUCACCCAUAAUUGCGGGUGCAAACACACGGCUUGGAGGGAAAUCUUUUUUUUGUUUUUUUUUUCGUUUUUGUCUCUUAAAUUCAAUUUUUUUUUCUCAAAUCCACAGUAUUUCAGAGCCCCUUGAAAAAUUUCCAGGGCAAAAAAAGUCAUCAAUAAUUCCUUUGUUAUUGAAGACAGAUAAGACCAUGUGACCCACCCAGCCUACUGUAUGGUACUGUGCCUUCUCUCUGUUUCCGUCCCUCGUUCCAAUUCUCUUUUUUUAGAGGGGAAAAGAGAAGGGACAUUGAAUUAUGUUUUAAAAGAUUCUGGAGAGGAAGGUUUUAGUGAAUUAGACUGGAUUUCACUGUAUAGGCAACACAUGUCAAGGCUUCUGAGAGAAAGGGAGAGAGAGGGAGACAGUAAGAGAGAGAGAGAGACAGGAAGAGAGAGAGAGAGAGACAGACAGGAAGAGAGAGAGACAGAGAGAGAGGGAGACAGGAAGAGAGACAGAGAGAGAGAGAGACAGAGAGAGAGAGAGAGAGAGAGACAGACAGACAGACAGGAAUAGAGAGAGAGAGAGACAGACAGGAAGAGAGAGAGACAGAGAGAGAGGGAGAGAGAGAGAGAGAGAGACAGACAGACAGGAAUAGAGAGAGAGAGAGAGAGGGGAGACAGGAAGAGAGAGAGAGAGAGAGGGAGGGAGACAGGAAGAGAGAGAGAGAGGGAGACAGGAAGAGAGAGAGAGGGAGACAGGAAGAGAGAGAGAGAGAGACAGGAAGAGAGAGAGAGAGAGAGAGAGAGAGAGAGAGAGAGGGAGACAGGAAGAGAGAGAGAGAGAGAGGGAGGGAGACAGGAAGAGAGAGAGAGAGGGAGACAGGAAGAGAGAGAGAGAGAGAGAGAGAGGGGGGAAGAGGAAAAGAGAGAGAUACUGUAUAUAUUAUAUAUAUAAUAUGACAUUUGUAAUGUCUUUAUUGUUUUGAAACUUCUGUAUGUAUAAUGUUUACUGUUAAUUGUUAUUGUUUAUUUCACUUUAUAUCACUUUAUAUAUUCACUUUAUAUAUGAUCUACCUCACUUGCUUUGGCAAUGUUAACACAUGUUUCCCAUGCCAAUAAAGCCCCUUGAAUUGAAUUGAGAGACAGGAAGAGAGAGAGAGAGAGGGGGGGGUGAAAGGAGAGCAAAGAGUUAAUCCCUCUCUCUGUUGGAAGGGUCUUGUGCUGAAGUUACAUAGAGGGAGGAGGAAGCUGACAGGCAGAGAAAUCGCCUGGGGCCCUUGGCAGCUCUUCGAUUCAUUUUGCCAUUUUGCUUGGCGAUCCAAUCUGGAAAAAGCAUUUUUUGUUGGAAAUGUAAUAUAUCUAAAAAGUACAUAAGACUUUUUUUGGUCUCCUGUUUUUAUGAGGCCGAUAUUCCCCAGUCCCACACACCCUCCUCCUCUGACAGUGAUUCUGUGAUUCUCCUUUGGCCACCAGGGGGUGCCAUUGUCUCACAGUGAAAAAGGAUCCCCUGUUGUGAAAUUUCAAUAUUCUGAAAAACUCUAAAACUCAACGAAAAAAAAAUAAUAAAGAAUCA
Oncorhynchus tshawytscha (Chinook salmon) is the source of this 1857-nucleotide long non-coding RNA. Lineage: Eukaryota; Metazoa; Chordata; Actinopteri; Salmoniformes; Salmonidae. The record is from Ensembl.